CAAGUUUUUGUGAAGAUGGAAAUCAACCGUAGCAACGGAUGGGGUCGUUGCAGCCCUUGGCGGCAGACUGGCCAGCGCCGUUUCUUCCGCCCUUCUCCAGAUACUGCUGGUGAUACUCUUCAGCUCUGUAGAAUCUCUUGGCUCCAACUACUUCUGUCACUAUCUUCUUCUUCACCUCUUUCUGCUUUGCUUCUAAUGAUUCUUGUGCUAAUUUUGCUUGUGUUUCGUUGUAGUAGUAUAUCCCUGACCUAUACUGUGUCCCAACAUCAUUUCCCUGCAACAUUAUUACAACUCAUAUCACUAAAUUCUUCAAAUCUCAUCACUAUUACCCCAUACAAUCUCAUCAAUUUUUUAUAAAAUUUCCUCUAUUAAGAGCUUAUAAUACCUAUUUAGAUGAAAAAAGGGUGAAAGAUUAUGCUCAAAGUAUCUCCAAAUAUAUUUACUUAAUACGUGUGAAAAAUACGAGUGGACUAUGUUGGGAAGUACAUUUCAUGAUCCAAUUUCCAUCCAUUUCAAAGCUUAAGUUUAGCAAGCUAGAAAAAUAUACCUAGAAAUCAAUUUAAACAACAUAAAAACGAAAUUCAAUAUAUAAAUUGACAACCACAUCAUAUAUAAUGUAUUGAAAUACUGAAAAUACCUGACGAUUAAGAGAAGUAGGAUCAUGUUUGGCCCAGAAGACAUGAAGCAAAGUUGUGUAGGGGCAAACAUUGGGGUCGAAAUGGAGGCGAACGACUUCGGCGUGGUUGGUGGAUCCGGUGCAAACCAGUUCGUAAUUGGGGUCGUGGACGUGGCCUUGCGAGUAGCCCACUUCAGUCUUGACGACGCC
This 826-nucleotide long non-coding RNA is filed under the name Salvia miltiorrhiza (redroot sage). RNAcentral's name for it is "long non-coding RNA (SMIL_LNC007453)". Lineage: Eukaryota; Viridiplantae; Streptophyta; Magnoliopsida; Lamiales; Lamiaceae. The record is from RNAcentral.